Molecule: ribosomal RNA, 301 nt
Filed under: uncultured bacterium
Lineage: Bacteria
Description: partial 16S ribosomal RNA
Rfam family: Bacterial small subunit ribosomal RNA
Source: RNAcentral
CAGCCGCCACGGGAAUACGUAGGGUGCAAGCGUUAAUCGGAAUUACUGGGCGUAAAGCGUGCGCAGGCGGUUAUAUAAGACAGAUGUGAAAUCCCCGGGCUCAACCUGGGAACUGCAUUUGUGACUGUAUAGCCAGAGUACGGCAGAGGGGGAUGGAAUUCCGCGUGUAGCAGUGAAAUGCGUAGAUAUGCGGAGGAACACCGAUGGCGAAGGCAAUCCCCUGGGCCUGUACUGACGCUUAUGCACGAAAGCGUGGGGAGCAAACAGGAUUAGAUACCCGUGUAGUCCCUGUCUCUUAUAC